AUACGUAGGGAGCGAGCGUUGUCCGGAAUUACUGGGUGUAAAGGGAGCGUAGGCGGGUGUGCCAGUCAGAUGUGAAAUACAUGGGCUCAACCCAUGGGCUGCAUUUGAAACUGCAUUUCUUGAGUGAAGUAGAGGUAAGCGGAAAUCCUGGUGUAGCGGCGCAAUGCGUAGAUAUCAGGAGGAACACCGGUGGCGAAGGCGGCUUACUGGGCUUUUACUGACGCUGAGGCUCGAAAGCGUGGGGAGCAAACAGGAUUAGAUACCCUGGUAGUCCACGCUGUAAACGAUGAUUACUAGGUGUGGGGGGACUGACCCCUUCCGUGCCGCAGUUAACACAAUAAGUAAUCCACCUGGGGAGUACGGCCGCAAGGUUGAAACUCAAAUGAAUUGACGGGG
Molecule: ribosomal RNA, 396 nt
Filed under: uncultured bacterium
Lineage: Bacteria
Description: partial 16S ribosomal RNA
Rfam family: Bacterial small subunit ribosomal RNA
Source: RNAcentral